This 253-nucleotide ribosomal RNA is filed under the name uncultured bacterium. Its description in RNAcentral is "partial 16S ribosomal RNA". It matches the Rfam family "Bacterial small subunit ribosomal RNA", at positions 524 to 776 of the family's 1533-position model. The record is from RNAcentral.
UACAGAGGGUGCGAGCGUUAAUCGGAAUUACUGGGCGUAAAGGGCGCGUAGGUGGUGAAUUAAGUUAUAUGUGAAACCCCUGAGCUUAACUUAGGACUGGCAUAUAAAACUAAUUUUCUAGAGUGUGAGAGAGGGAGGUGGAAUUUCCGGUGUAGCGGUGAAAUGCGUAGAUAUCGGAAGGAACAUCGGUGGCGAAGGCGGCCUCCUGGCUCACUACUGACACUGAGGCGCGAAAGCGUGGGGAGCAAACAGG